Long non-coding RNA from Rhipicephalus microplus (southern cattle tick), 412 nucleotides. The record is from RefSeq and is a predicted model, not a curated record. NCBI's taxonomy places the organism in Eukaryota, Metazoa, Arthropoda, Arachnida, Ixodida, Ixodidae.
UGAACGAGUCAGAGUGCAACAAUCUUAGAAUGACUGAGCAGAUCCGGGUUCUCAAGGAAGAAAUACGACGACAUGAACGCAACUAUGAAAGACAAAAGCAUGCUGUUAAUCUUGAGUAUCUUAAGAACAUUAUCAUGAAGUUUGUCACCUUGCGGGGUGGCAGCGAGAAAGAGCGGCUUGUACCAGUCCUCACGACAAUGCUGAAGCUGAGCCCUGACGAGAAAAAAGAUCUUGAAGCUGUUGUGACUAAGGAAAUGCAGCAAGAUGCAGCUGGGGCAUCUAACUGGGGCGGCUACCUACCUCGUUGGACAGGCUUUGUUGGAUGACAGCACAGACCUUGCAUGGAGAAGUGUAAUGUUGUGUACAAUAGUGUGAGGACUAAUUGUACAUAAAUGCAAUUUAUUUGUUUGAU